AGCAGCGUGGCUUAGUGGAAAGAGCCCGGGCUUGGGAGUCAGAGGUCGUGGGAUCUAAUCCCACCUCUGCCA
RNAcentral lists this transfer RNA (72 nucleotides) under Ornithorhynchus anatinus (platypus). It matches the Rfam family "tRNA". From Rfam's summary of the family: Transfer RNA (tRNA) molecules are approximately 80 nucleotides in length. Their secondary structure includes four short double-helical elements and three loops (D, anti-codon, and T loops). The record is from Rfam by way of RNAcentral. Lineage: Eukaryota; Metazoa; Chordata; Mammalia; Monotremata; Ornithorhynchidae.